GCCACCCUAGCUCAAUCGGCAGAGCAGGCGCUUCGUAAGCGUCAGGUUUGGGGUUCAAUUCCCCAGGGUGGCU
Molecule: transfer RNA, 73 nt
Filed under: Chloroflexota bacterium
Lineage: Bacteria; Bacillati; Chloroflexota
Description: Chloroflexi bacterium (anaerobic digester metagenome) tRNA-Thr
Rfam family: tRNA
About the family: Transfer RNA (tRNA) molecules are approximately 80 nucleotides in length. Their secondary structure includes four short double-helical elements and three loops (D, anti-codon, and T loops).
Source: RNAcentral